UACGGAGGGUGCAAGCGUUGCUCGGAAUUACUGGGCGUAAAGCGCACGCAGGCGGCUGUGCAAGUCGGAUGUGAAAGCCCCGGGCUCAACCCGGGAACUGCAUUCGAAACUGCACGGCUUGAGUUCGAGAGAGGGUGGUGGAAUUCCUGGUGUAGAGGUGAAAUUCGUUGAUAUCAGGAGGAACACCGGCGGCGAAGGCGGCCACCUGGCUCGACACUGACGCUCAUGUGCGAAAGCGUGGGUAGCAAACAGG
This 253-nucleotide ribosomal RNA is filed under the name uncultured bacterium. RNAcentral's name for it is "partial 16S ribosomal RNA". It matches the Rfam family "Bacterial small subunit ribosomal RNA", at positions 524 to 776 of the family's 1533-position model. The record is from RNAcentral.